RNAcentral lists this ribosomal RNA (2900 nucleotides) under Klebsiella pneumoniae. Its description in RNAcentral is "bacterial LSU rRNA". It matches the Rfam family "Bacterial large subunit ribosomal RNA". The record is from RNAcentral. Lineage: Bacteria; Pseudomonadati; Pseudomonadota; Gammaproteobacteria; Enterobacterales; Enterobacteriaceae.
UUAAGCGACUAAGCGUACACGGUGGAUGCCCUGGCAGUCAGAGGCGAUGAAGGACGUGCUAAUCUGCGAAAAGCGUCGGUAAGGUGAUAUGAACCGUUAUAACCGGCGAUGUCCGAAUGGGGAAACCCAGUGCAAUUCGUUGCACUAUCGUUAACUGAAUACAUAGGUUAACGAGGCGAACCGGGGGAACUGAAACAUCUAAGUACCCCGAGGAAAAGAAAUCAACCGAGAUUCCCCCAGUAGCGGCGAGCGAACGGGGAGCAGCCCAGAGUCUGAAUCAGCUUGUGUGUUAGUGGAACGGUCUGGAAAGUCCGACGGUACAGGGUGAUAGUCCCGUACACCAAAAUGCACAGGCUGUGAACUCGAAGAGUAGGGCGGGACACGUGGUAUCCUGUCUGAAUAUGGGGGGACCAUCCUCCAAGGCUAAAUACUCCUGACUGACCGAUAGUGAACCAGUACCGUGAGGGAAAGGCGAAAAGAACCCCGGCGAGGGGAGUGAAAAAGAACCUGAAACCGUGUACGUACAAGCAGUGGGAGCACCUUCGGGUGUGACUGCGUACCUUUUGUAUAAUGGGUCAGCGACUUAUAUUCUGUAGCAAGGUUAACCGUAUAGGGGAGCCGCAGGGAAACCGAGUCUUAACUGGGCGUUAAGUUGCAGGGUAUAGACCCGAAACCCGGUGAUCUAGCCAUGGGCAGGUUGAAGGUUGGGUAACACUAACUGGAGGACCGAACCGACUAAUGUUGAAAAAUUAGCGGAUGACUUGUGGCUGGGGGUGAAAGGCCAAUCAAACCGGGAGAUAGCUGGUUCUCCCCGAAAGCUAUUUAGGUAGCGCCUCGUGAAUUCAUCUUCGGGGGUAGAGCACUGUUUCGGCUAGGGGGUCAUCCCGACUUACCAACCCGAUGCAAACUACGAAUACCGAAGAAUGUUAUCACGGGAGACACACGGCGGGUGCUAACGUCCGUCGUGAAGAGGGAAACAACCCAGACCGCCAGCUAAGGUCCCAAAGUCAUGGUUAAGUGGGAAACGAUGUGGGAAGGCACAGACAGCCAGGAUGUUGGCUUAGAAGCAGCCAUCAUUUAAAGAAAGCGUAAUAGCUCACUGGUCGAGUCGGCCUGCGCGGAAGAUGUAACGGGGCUAAACCAUGCACCGAAGCUGCGGCAGCGACACUAUGUGUUGUUGGGUAGGGGAGCGUUCUGUAAGCCUGCGAAGGUGUGCUGUGAGGCAUGCUGGAGGUAUCAGAAGUGCGAAUGCUGACAUAAGUAACGAUAAAGCGGGUGAAAAGCCCGCUCGCCGGAAGACCAAGGGUUCCUGUCCAACGUUAAUCGGGGCAGGGUGAGUCGACCCCUAAGGCGAGGCCGAAAGGCGUAGUCGAUGGGAAACAGGUUAAUAUUCCUGUACUUGGUGUUACUGCGAAGGGGGGACGGAGAAGGCUAUGUUAGCCGGGCGACGGUUGUCCCGGUUUAAGCAUGUAGGCUGAUUGUCCAGGCAAAUCCGGAUAAUCAAGGCUGAGGUGUGAUGACGAGGCACUACGGUGCUGAAGUAACAAAUGCCCUGCUUCCAGGAAAAGCCUCUAAGCAUCAGGUAACAUCAAAUCGUACCCCAAACCGACACAGGUGGUCAGGUAGAGAAUACCAAGGCGCUUGAGAGAACUCGGGUGAAGGAACUAGGCAAAAUGGUGCCGUAACUUCGGGAGAAGGCACGCUGGUGUGUAGGUGAAGCCCCUGCGGGUGGAGCUGAGACCAGUCGAAGAUACCAGCUGGCUGCAACUGUUUAUUAAAAACACAGCACUGUGCAAACACGAAAGUGGACGUAUACGGUGUGACGCCUGCCCGGUGCCGGAAGGUUAAUUGAUGGGGUUAUCCGUAAGGAGAAGCUCUUGAUCGAAGCCCCGGUAAACGGCGGCCGUAACUAUAACGGUCCUAAGGUAGCGAAAUUCCUUGUCGGGUAAGUUCCGACCUGCACGAAUGGCGUAAUGAUGGCCAGGCUGUCUCCACCCGAGACUCAGUGAAAUUGAACUCGCUGUGAAGAUGCAGUGUACCCGCGGCAAGACGGAAAGACCCCGUGAACCUUUACUAUAGCUUGACACUGAACAUUGAGCCUUGAUGUGUAGGAUAGGUGGGAGGCUUUGAAGCGUGGACGCCAGUCUGCGUGGAGCCAACCUUGAAAUACCACCCUUUAAUGUUUGAUGUUCUAACGUUGGCCCCUUACCGGGGUUGCGGACAGUGUCUGGUGGGUAGUUUGACUGGGGCGGUCUCCUCCCAAAGCGUAACGGAGGAGCACGAAGGUUAGCUAAUCCUGGUCGGACAUCAGGAGGUUAGUGCAAUGGCAUAAGCUAGCUUGACUGCGAGCGUGACGGCGCGAGCAGGUGCGAAAGCAGGUCAUAGUGAUCCGGUGGUUCUGAAUGGAAGGGCCAUCGCUCAACGGAUAAAAGGUACUCCGGGGAUAACAGGCUGAUACCGCCCAAGAGUUCAUAUCGACGGCGGUGUUUGGCACCUCGAUGUCGGCUCAUCACAUCCUGGGGCUGAAGUAGGUCCCAAGGGUAUGGCUGUUCGCCAUUUAAAGUGGUACGCGAGCUGGGUUUAGAACGUCGUGAGACAGUUCGGUCCCUAUCUGCCGUGGGCGCUGGAGAAUUGAGGGGGGCUGCUCCUAGUACGAGAGGACCGGAGUGGACGCAUCACUGGUGUUCGGGUUGUCAUGCCAAUGGCACUGCCCGGUAGCUAAAUGCGGAAGAGAUAAGUGCUGAAAGCAUCUAAGCACGAAACUUGCCCCGAGAUGAGUUCUCCCUGAGACUUUAAGUCUCCUGAAGGAACGUUGAAGACGACGACGUUGAUAGGCCGGGUGUGUAAGCGCAGCGAUGCGUUGAGCUAACCGGUACUAAUGAACCGUGAGGCUUAACCUU